RNAcentral lists this long non-coding RNA (532 nucleotides) under Salvia miltiorrhiza (redroot sage). Its description in RNAcentral is "long non-coding RNA (SMIL_LNC001228)". The record is from RNAcentral. Lineage: Eukaryota; Viridiplantae; Streptophyta; Magnoliopsida; Lamiales; Lamiaceae.
UAAAUUCCCAAUCCCACACGCCAAAACCUAGAUGAGGAAUCAUCAAAAUUAUGUGGGAGUGAUUGACAUCAAAAUCUCAAGAAACAAGCGAUCAUCAACAAUAGAAGAAUACACAGCAACAACAGUAUUGAUCUGAGGAGCAAUGCAACCACAAAACUUGUAUUCGACAUGAAAAUUUAUAUUCGAAGUUCGUCUUCUACGAAACUUGAGGCAGGAGCUCGGAGUUUGUUAACUACACAAACCCAUCUCCAUUUCAUCAAAGCUCCAACCAUUUCUUUCUCUUACCGGAUUGCCUGCUGAUUUUAAUGGUUCUUCUUCUUCUUUUUGGCGGCCGCCACUUCUGCGCUCCUUGCUGCAGCCGCGUUCGAUUUCUUCUUCUUAGCAGAAGCCACCUGCUUGAGCUAAUGAGUUUAAGAAUAUAUUGAGGUAAUGAGUCUUGAACUUCGUAGCCCUUUCAUUGGGGUUUCACUUAAUUGCACUACGUUUGAAGCGAGAAACAAUCGAGAUUAUGCUUACCGGAGGGGAGCUGCAC